AGGGAUAUAACUUAGCCAUAGAGUGUCACCUUGACGUGGUAGAAUUCAUCGGUUCGAGUCUGAUUAUCUCUA
Non-coding RNA from Daucus carota subsp. sativus, 72 nucleotides. The record is from Rfam. NCBI's taxonomy places the organism in Eukaryota, Viridiplantae, Streptophyta, Magnoliopsida, Apiales, Apiaceae.